This 1014-nucleotide ribosomal RNA is filed under the name Bacillus subtilis. RNAcentral describes it as "bacterial SSU rRNA". The record is from RNAcentral. Lineage: Bacteria; Bacillati; Bacillota; Bacilli; Caryophanales; Bacillaceae.
AUACUGCAAGUCGAGCGGACAGAUGGGAGCUUGCUCCCUGAUGUUAGCGGCGGACGGGUGAGUAACACGUGGGUAACCUGCCUGUAAGACUGGGAUAACUCCGGGAAACCGGGGCUAAUACCGGAUGGUUGUYUGAACCGCAUGGUUCAGACAUAAAAGGUGGCUUCGGCUACCACUUACAGAUGGACCCGCGGCGCAUUAGCUAGUUGGUGAGGUAACGGCUCACCAAGGCGACGAUGCGUAGCCGACCUGAGAGGGUGAUCGGCCACACUGGGACUGAGACACGGCCCAGACUCCUACGGGAGGCAGCAGUAGGGAAUCUUCCGCAAUGGACGAAAGUCUGACGGAGCAACGCCGCGUGAGUGAUGAAGGUUUUCGGAUCGUAAAGCUCUGUUGUUAGGGAAGAACAAGUGCCGUUCAAAUAGGGCGGCACCUUGACGGUACCUAACCAGAAAGCCACGGCUAACUACGUGCCAGCAGCCGCGGUAAUACGUAGGUGGCAAGCGUUGUCCGGAAUUAUUGGGCGUAAAGGGCUCGCAGGCGGUUUCUUAAGUCUGAUGUGAAAGCCCCCGGCUCAACCGGGGAGGGUCAUUGGAAACUGGGGAACUUGAGUGCAGAAGAGGAGAGUGGAAUUCCACGUGUAGCGGUGAAAUGCGUAGAGAUGUGGAGGAACACCAGUGGCGAAGGCGACUCUCUGGUCUGUAACUGACGCUGAGGAGCGAAAGCGUGGGGAGCGAACAGGAUUAGAUACCCUGGUAGUCCACGCCGUAAACGAUGAGUGCUAAGUGUUAGGGGGUUUCCGCCCCUUAGUGCUGCAGCUAACGCAUUAAGCACUCCGCCUGGGGAGUACGGUCGCAAGACUGAAACUCAAAGGAAUUGACGGGGGCCCGCACAAGCGGUGGARCAUGUGGUUUAAUUCGAAGCAACGCGAAGAACCUUACCAGGUCUUGACAUCCUCUGACAAUCCUAGAGAUAGGACGUCCCCUUCGGGGGCAGAGUGACAGGUGGUGCAUG